RNAcentral lists this unclassified non-coding RNA (190 nucleotides) under fungal sp. Its description in RNAcentral is "partial internal transcribed spacer region". The stretch from base 1 to 46 matches the Rfam family "Eukaryotic small subunit ribosomal RNA", at positions 1786 to 1831 of the family's 1831-position model. The record is from RNAcentral. Lineage: Eukaryota; Fungi.
AAGUCGUAACAAGGUUUCCGUAGGUGAACCUGCGGAAGGAUCAUUAGCAAUCGUCUCAUUGGAGACCCGUUUCUUGUGCACCUGAUUAGAUAUGACCUAGGUCAUACACCCACUUAUACAAUAAACCUGAUAAACCAUAUGGCAAAAUAAUACAAAAUACAACUUUUAACAACGAAUCUCUUGGCUCUCC